Molecule: small nuclear RNA, 23 nt
Filed under: Arabidopsis thaliana (thale cress)
Lineage: Eukaryota; Viridiplantae; Streptophyta; Magnoliopsida; Brassicales; Brassicaceae
Description: snRNA_07474
Source: RNAcentral
CUUGCACAUGGGUUAGUCGAUCC